RNAcentral lists this transfer RNA (73 nucleotides) under Amborella trichopoda. It matches the Rfam family "tRNA". Rfam says of the family: Transfer RNA (tRNA) molecules are approximately 80 nucleotides in length. Lineage: Eukaryota; Viridiplantae; Streptophyta; Magnoliopsida; Amborellales; Amborellaceae. The record is from Rfam by way of RNAcentral.
GGGCUUAUAGUUUAAUUGGUCGAAACGUACCAUCGGUGAUAUUUUAUUGUAGGUUCGAGCCCUACGAAGCCUA